ACGAGGGGUGUAUACGUGUCGACGUCACCGCUCGGUUUUUACUGUGAACGCCAAAAUAAAACGAGUAAAAACUUUUCUAUUGCACUCAUAAGUCGAAACACAUGGCAGCGAGGGACUAAGGCGGUGAGAAAGCCGGGUUUCUCCGCGGUGUGAUGGUCGUCGGGACUCGGCAUUGUUCGCGCAGCAGAGGAGGCUUUUUCUCCCUUUCUUUCCUCCAGCGGUCGCACGGCGAGAGGCAACAGCGACGUUAGCCGACCUGCUAACGUCAAGUUGGGAGAAAGUGGAGAGAAGACAGCGGCUAAACGGGGGAGCUUAUCCGCCUACACAGACCUAUGCGACGGAUAGCAGGUGGGAGAUGGAGACGAGAGACUUGA
Etheostoma spectabile (orangethroat darter) is the source of this 374-nucleotide long non-coding RNA. RefSeq lists it as uncharacterized. The transcript is spliced from 4 exons. Lineage: Eukaryota; Metazoa; Chordata; Actinopteri; Perciformes; Percidae. The record is from RefSeq and is a predicted model, not a curated record.